AGAAUAUAAGAACCUGACUUUUAACUUUUAAUUAAAAAAGCUAAGAAUCGGUUCUUAAAUAAGAGUUUUAAGAGACGUUCUUAGCUUUUUUUAGUUAAAAGUUAAGAGACGGGUUCUUAUAUUCC
Non-coding RNA from Brassica napus (rape), 125 nucleotides. The record is from Rfam. Lineage: Eukaryota; Viridiplantae; Streptophyta; Magnoliopsida; Brassicales; Brassicaceae.